RNAcentral lists this unclassified non-coding RNA (344 nucleotides) under soil metagenome. Its description in RNAcentral is "partial contains 5.8S ribosomal RNA, internal transcribed spacer 2, and large subunit ribosomal RNA". The stretch from base 1 to 120 matches the Rfam family "5.8S ribosomal RNA", at positions 35 to 154 of the family's 154-position model. The record is from RNAcentral.
GAUGAAGAACGCAGCGAAAUGCGAUACGUAAUGUGAAUUGCAGAAUUCAGUGAAUCAUCGAGUCUUUGAACGCACAUUGCGCCCCCUGGUAUUCCGGGGGGCAUGCCUGUCCGAGCGUCAUUGCUGCCCACAAGCACGGCUUGUGUGUUGGGCCUCCGUCCUCCUCCCGGGGGACGGGCCCGAAAGGCAGCGGCGGCACCGCGUCCGGUCCUCGAGCGUAUGGGGCUUCGUCACCCGCUCUUGUAGGCCCGGCCGGCGCUUGCCGACACAUCAAUCUUUUUUCCAGGUUGACCUCGGAUCAGGUAGGGAUACCCGCUGAACUUAAGCAUAUCAUAAGCGGAGGA